GGGAUUGUGGCAUCAGGGAGAUUGGCGGGGAACUCUCUGGCAAGGAUGGGGAGUGUCUGCCAUAGUGAUUGGGGAUGCAACAACCAAGGAGAAGGAGCAAGCCGUGCACCCCAGUCUUGCUUUGAGGAAGGGAUGAAGGACAGGGAACAUUCCAGAAGGGAACUAAGGACAUACAAGGAGAUUGACAGUUUUCUGGAGAGUAGAAGCUUGGAUGGCAUUUCCGAUGACAUUUCUUCAAGCACCUUUGGAGAAGCAGCCCAAUAGCUCAUUUCAGAUUUCUUCAUGGAUCAUCACUAGCCACAUGUUAAUCUGAAGGAGAGCUCAGAGGGAGUAAUUUCACAACACAACUCUUAAGUUAACCCCCUCUUGUCAUUCCUAAUACCACCACUGAUCAUCUGUUAUUGGCUAGAUCAUG
This is a long non-coding RNA of Vidua macroura (Pin-tailed whydah), 415 nucleotides long. RefSeq lists it as uncharacterized. NCBI's taxonomy places the organism in Eukaryota, Metazoa, Chordata, Aves, Passeriformes, Viduidae. The transcript is spliced from 4 exons. The record is from RefSeq and is a predicted model, not a curated record.